GACGAACGCUGGCGGCGUGCCUAACACAUGCAAGUCGAACGGACAGGCCCUGCUCUUGUGCCGCGCACGAUUGGCGAACGGGUGAGUAUCACGCGUGUAACCCGCCCUUGUCUUUCGGAUAUAUUCAGGAAACUGGGGCUCAUACCGGAUAGGAGCUACUGCUCCAUGGUGGGGGUUGGAAAGUUUCGGCGGUUGGGGAUGGACUCGCUGCUUCUCAGCUUGAUUGUGGGGUAGUGGCUUACCAAGGUUUCGACGGGUAGCCGGCCUGAGAGGGUGACCGGCCACAUUGGGACUAAGAGACGGACCAGACUCCUACGGGAGGCAGCAGUGGGGAAUAUUGCACAAUGGGCGGAAGCCUGAUGCAGCAGCGCCGCGUGCGGGAUAACGGCCUUCGGGUUGUAAACCGCUUUCGCCUGUAACGAAGCGUGAGUGACGGUAAUGGGUAAGGAAGCACCGGCUAACUACGUG
RNAcentral lists this ribosomal RNA (468 nucleotides) under uncultured bacterium. RNAcentral's name for it is "partial 16S ribosomal RNA". It matches the Rfam family "Bacterial small subunit ribosomal RNA", at positions 28 to 507 of the family's 1533-position model. The record is from RNAcentral.